UUUCAAAAAAAAAUCACUAACGGACUUAAUUCAAAGGAAAGCAACAAACAGAAAGGUAAAGGAAGACUGGCAUGAAACACUCUAAACUCACUGCUUGUAAAAUAUCAUUAAAUUUGCAUGCUACUUUGUACCCUAAAAAUGCCAUGCAGUAAGUUGACUUGUUAGUUUUCCCAUUCGUGUGGGAACUCUUGUACCAGUCAUCUUCAAAAGAUAGUUCUGAGUAAUAGUAAAGAAACAAAACUGGAAGUGUGCUUCAGAUAAUGUUCCUACCUACAAAUUAACAUCACUGCCUAUGCCCAGAAGAGAAUAUCCUUGCCAAAGUACAAUAAACAAUACAGCAAACCCUCAAGCAUUUACUAACAGCAGAAUAGCUAAAAACAAACAACAACAAAAAACAAAACAAAACAUCAACAACAAAAAAACCCUCUUCUGUGUGCUUUGUUUUCAGAUCAUAAAAUUGUUUUCUGCAAACUGAGACCUAAACGCCCAAUUCCCAUCCCACUCUGUUAUCUGGAGCACCAGUGUCCUGUAUUUACCCGCCCCCUCUUCUCAGGUUCACCCCAUAUUUAUCCUAUACACCCCCAAAGCAGGCCCAAAGGGCAUGUCACUAGGUCCUUCACCCGCAGCCACCUCUACCACUCUGGGAUGAGAGUCCCAGUACUGCAAUAGGUCUGUCCCCACUUGGCUCACAGCCCCUUAUCCUCCUGGAGCGAUGCUAGCUGCUACAGCCGGGCUCCCGCGCGACCCUUGUCCGCAAGGCUCUGUGGCUUUCCAGAACGGCCGGCCGCUGCAGGGCCAGGGCACAUAACUACCUACAUAAUCUAUCUUUAUCAUAAUUUAUCUUCAUCCAAUUCCAAGAUGAAGAGAGAGAAGGAAGUAGAGGAAGAUGAACAACAUAAAGAGGAGUUUGGACAAGAGUCAGAUACUCAGCGUAACAGGAAGAUUGACAGCAUGGCUGGGUCUGGAAAUUAAACUGGAAGAUGAAGAUUCAUCUGGAUUCUUGAAGCAUAAGAAAUUAUUACUACCUAUGGAAAGAAAAUGAAAGAAGAAAAGUGGAGUUCUGUAAUAUAUGUAAUAUCCGAAAUAGUCAUUGUUGAUUAACUAAUUGACUAGAGUAAAAAUAAACCAGUAAUCUCAAACUA
This is a long non-coding RNA of Mus musculus (house mouse), 1142 nucleotides long. RefSeq annotates it as predicted gene, 54207. NCBI's taxonomy places the organism in Eukaryota, Metazoa, Chordata, Mammalia, Rodentia, Muridae. The record is from RefSeq and is a predicted model, not a curated record. The transcript is spliced from 2 exons.